RNAcentral lists this long non-coding RNA (3348 nucleotides) under Homo sapiens (human). Its description in RNAcentral is "non-protein coding lnc-KBTBD2-2:9". The record is from RNAcentral. Lineage: Eukaryota; Metazoa; Chordata; Mammalia; Primates; Hominidae.
GUUAUUGGCGCUUGCUCGGCAUUUGUGGACCGAACAGGCAAGUUCAACCGAGCACGCUGCCCCCGCGCUCCACCUCUGAGUUCCCUGGGCCACUGCGACAUGGAGAAACCCCGUUCUUUUCAUCCUCUGCUACGGAGAAGGGACGAGGACACGGGUCCUGCAGUGUUGGUGUGGCGAGGCCCGGAAGAAGAGAGAAUGGGCGGCGGGGACUGGCCACGGCGCUGCUAGUUAUGAAAAACCUCCUCCUGGGCUUAUCAAGAUGGAGUUUCGCUCUUGUUGCCCAGGCUGGAGUACAAUGGCAUGAUCUUGGCUCACCGCGACCUCCGCCUCCCAGGUUCAAGCGAUUCUCCUGCCUCAGUCUUCCCAAGUAGCUGGGAUUACAGGCAUGCGCCACUAUGCCUGGCUAAUUUUGUAUUUUUAGUAGAGGCGGGGUUUCUUCAUGUUGGUCAGUCUGGUCUCGAACUUCCAGCCUCAGGUGAUCCGCCCGCCUCGGCCUCCCAAAGUGCUGGGAUUACAGGUGUAAGCCACCGCGAUGGCCUGCUGUGUUUUAAUUUUCUGACAUCCCCUUUGACUCAUGGAUUGGUUACGCAUGUGUUAUUCAGUUUCUACAUACUGGAUUCUUCAAAUUUCCUUAUAUUGUUGCUUUGUAAUUUGAGUCCAUCCUAGUUAGAGAAUAUACUUUGUAUGGUUUAAAUCCUUUUAAUUAUAUUAAUUCUUGUUUUAUGGCCUAAUAUAGGGUCUCUGGAUAAUGUUCCAUAUUGACUUCAAAAAGUGUUUAUUGUUGGGUGGUAGAGUGUUUUAUAAGUAACUGUUAGGUUCAAUUGAUUUAUAUUGUUGUUUAAGUCUUGUAAUUCAUUGCUGAUCUUCUCUCUAGUUGUUUUAUCCAUUAUUGAAUGAGGAGUAUUGAAAUCUCUAUUAUUGUUACACCGUUCUAUUUUCCCCUUCAAUUCUAUCAGUUUGUGUCUCAACUAUCUGGCACUCUUUUGCUAGGUUACAUACAUAUUUAUAAAUGUUGUAUCUUCUUGAUGGAUUGACCUUUUUAUCAAUACAAAAUAUCCUUCUUUGUCUCUGGUAACAGUUUUUGUCUUAGGGUGUAUUUUGUCUGAAAUUAUCGGAGCAGCUUUAGUUCCCUUUGGGUUACUGUUUGCAUCAUAUAUUCCUUUCCAUCCUUUUACUGCCAACCUAAUUGGGUCUUUAAAUCUACAGUGUGUCACUUAUAUCUAGUGCUUGGAUAGCAUUUUUCCUUUUUUUUUUUUUUUUUUUUUUUUUGAGACAGGGCCUCUCUGCUGCCCAGGGUGGAGUGCAGUGGCACAAUCACAGCACACUGCAGCCUAGACCUCCCAGGCUCAAGCAAUCCUCCCACCUCAGCCUUCUGAGUAGCUGGAACCACAGGUGCUUGCCACCAUGCCUGGCUAAUUUUUAAAAAUUUUUUGUACAGACGGGAUCUCACCUUGUUGCCUAGGCUAUUCUCAAACUCCUGGGCUCAAGCAGUCCUCCUGCCUUGGCCUCCCAAAGUGUUAGGAUUACAGGCAUGAGCCACUGCACCUGGCGGAUAACAUUUUUAUCCAUUCUAUAAAUCUCUGCCUUUUGAUUGAAGUGUUUAAUCCAUUUGCAUGUAAUAUAAUUACUGUUAAGGUAAUUACAAACCUAUGCACAUGGUUUUGAUUUUACCAAUUUUAGUAUUAAUUAGAAAAGUGGUUCUCCCACUUUGAUAUUUCUACAAAUAACCAGUAAAUCUUUUAAAAUUCAGGUUAUAUGUCCAUAUCAGGCCCAACCCAGAAAUACUGAAUAUCCAGUAUUUGAAUAUCCAAAAUACUGAAUACUAGAUAUUCAAUAUUUCUGGGUUGGGUCCUAUACCUUGCUUUUCUAACAACCUUGCUCAUAUUGUUGAAUUUGCUGGUCCAUGGACCACACUUUGAAUAUCUGGGAUCACCUUUCCAUAAUAAGAGGAUUUUGAGCGGAAAUGGUAUCUUCUGGAUAUCUAUACAUCAAUGCUUGUUCCAUGGCAUUUCACAUCCCUUCAGCUUUGCCAUAAAGGCACAUAUUAGUUUGAAAGAGUGUAGUCCUUCUCCCCCAAACUUUAAAUGGUGAGGGAGAUAAGGAUAGGGAUAGCUCACAGGCAAUCAAUAGAAAUCCACAAACUUAGGCCAGGCACAGUGGCUCACACCUGUAAUCCCAACACUUUGGAAGGCUGAGGUGGGCUGAUCACGAGGUCAGGAGUUCAAAACCAGCCUGGCCAACAUGACGAAACCGUCUCUACCAAAAAUAUAAAAAAUUAGCUGGGUUUGGUGGCAUGCAUCUGUAAUCCCAGCCACUUGGGAGGCUGAGGCAGAAGAAUUGCUUGAACCCAGGAGGCGGAGGUUGCAGUGAGCCGAGAUCGCGCCACUACACUCCAGCCUGGGCAACAGAGCGAGACUCGUCUCAAAAAAAAAAAAAAAACCCACAAACUUAAUUUUUUUCAGUGGUUUCCUGCAUUCAAUCCUCAAAUAAAAAUAAAAAGAGAAAAACUUUCUUGCCCUGUCACUACGUAUUUUCUGUAGUUGCCAGCAUAGAGCAAACUUGGCUGAACUUACCUAAAUCCCUCUUCAUACUUCCCGACCUAGUUGCUUAGAAUUGCUUAAUACUCAAACACAGGGUCUCAUUCACCAUUCCCAUACAGUUUCCUGAUUUACACCACAUCCAGAUGGUGCUGAGAGGAUAUGAACAGGCGAGAGAAGUAACAAGGAUCUCAUCCAUUCUUGCUUCACUCACCACUUCCUUUUUCUCAGAGGUCAAUGCCUGAUGCCAGGUCCACUCACUGAAAUUCCAUAAAGACUGGAAUUUGUUGCCUUGGAGCAUGUAUAUACAUUCUCUUGUUAUUCUCCUCCCAGUUCCUCAUCAGGACCUUCUGUUGCUUCUAAUAGUUAACCUCUUUAAAUAGCACAGUUUCCCUCUUCUGAAAGUAAAGUUGCAGUAGGGUUCUGAUGGCAUUAAUAUUUUAAAAGAACUUGUGAUUUUGUUUACUUAAAAGUGAGGGAUGUGAACAGAUGUCGACUCAACCUGAGAAAGAAGGUAUUUGUUCUAGUGACUAAAUUUAUAAAUGAGAUUCAGAGCCACUUGAUUAAUAGAAGAUAUUUACUUUGAAAAAUACAGCGAGACACACUAAAAAAAUUGACCUUUUGCAGUACUUUUCAUUGGAUUGCUUCAUAAUUUCUUGGUGUUGGAAAAUUAAUUCCUAAAGCACAAGAUUAAAGGAUGCUUGGGUAAGCAAUUAGUUUACCUGUCUUUUCUGGGACCUUACACGGUUCAUCCAUGAUUGCAUUUUCUUUUAGAAUUGGAGUUUAAUGAAUAAAAACUUUAAUAUAAUCU